Molecule: small nuclear RNA, 113 nt
Filed under: Sciurus vulgaris (Eurasian red squirrel)
Lineage: Eukaryota; Metazoa; Chordata; Mammalia; Rodentia; Sciuridae
Source: RNAcentral
GUGCUUGUUCAGCAACACAUUCACUAAAACUUGGAAAAAUAUGGAGUAGAUUAGCAUGGCCUCUGAUCAAGGAUGACACACAAAUUUCUAAAGUACUUAAAAAAUAAAUUUUC